Molecule: ribosomal RNA, 254 nt
Filed under: uncultured bacterium
Lineage: Bacteria
Description: partial 16S ribosomal RNA
Rfam family: Bacterial small subunit ribosomal RNA
Source: RNAcentral
UACGGAGGGUGCAAGCGUUAAUCGGAAUUACUGGGCGUAAAGCGUGCGUAGGUGGUUUGUUAAGUCCGUUGUGAAAGCCCCGAGCUCAACUUGGGGAAUUGCAGUGGAUACUGGCAAGCUGGAGUGCGGUAGAGGAAGGUGGAAUUCCCGGUGUAGCGGUGAAAUGCGUAGAGAUCGGGAAGAACACCCGUGGCGAAGGCGGCUCUCUGGGACGGUACUGACGCUGAGACGCGAAAGCGUGGGGAGCGAACAGG